CAGUAGCCACGGGAAUACGGAGGGUGCAAGCGUUAAUCGGAAUUACUGGGCGUAAAGCGUGCGUAGGUGGUGGUUUAAGUCCGUUGUGAAAGCCCUGGGCUCAACCUGGGAAUUGCAGUGGAUACUGGGUCACUAGAGUGUGGUAGAGGAUAGUGGAAUUUCCGGUGUAGCAGUGAAAUGCGUAGAGAUCGGAAGGAACAUCUGUGGCGAAGGCGACUAUCUGGGCCAACACUGACACUGAGGCACGAAAGCGUGGGGAGCAAACAGGAUUAGAGACCCCCGUAGUCCCUGUCUCUUAUAC
Molecule: ribosomal RNA, 301 nt
Filed under: uncultured bacterium
Lineage: Bacteria
Description: partial 16S ribosomal RNA
Rfam family: Bacterial small subunit ribosomal RNA
Source: RNAcentral